RNAcentral lists this ribosomal RNA (500 nucleotides) under uncultured Paraglomus. RNAcentral describes it as "SSU rRNA". It matches the Rfam family "Eukaryotic small subunit ribosomal RNA", at positions 569 to 1073 of the family's 1831-position model. The record is from RNAcentral. Lineage: Eukaryota; Fungi; Glomeromycota; Glomeromycetes; Paraglomerales; Paraglomeraceae.
AGCAGCCGCGGUAAUUCCAGCUCCAAUAGCGUAUAUUAAAGUUGUUGUGGUUAAAAAGCUCGUAGUUGAACCUUGGGCCUGGCUGGCCGGUCCGCCUCACCGCGUGUACUGGUCCGGCCGGGCCUUUCCCUCUGUGGAACCCCCAUGCCCUUCACUGGGCGUGGCGGGGAAACAGGACUUUUACUUUGAAAAAAUUAGAGUGCUCCAGGCAGGCCUAUGCUCGAAUACAUUAGCAUGGAAUAAUAGAAUAGGACGUGCGGUUCUAUUUUGUUGGUUUCUAGGACCGCCGUAAUGAUUAAUAGGGACAGUCGGGGGCAUCAGUAUUCAAUUGUCAGAGGUGAAAUUCUUGGAUUUAUUGAAGACUAACUACUGCGAAAGCAUUUGCCAAGGAUGUUUUCAUUAAUCAGGAACGAAAGUUAGGGGAUCGAAGACGAUCAGAUACCGUCGUAGUCUUAACCAUAAACUAUGCCGACUAGGGAUCGGACGAUGUUACUUAUUGA